RNAcentral lists this ribosomal RNA (458 nucleotides) under uncultured bacterium. RNAcentral describes it as "partial 16S ribosomal RNA". It matches the Rfam family "Bacterial small subunit ribosomal RNA", at positions 338 to 795 of the family's 1533-position model. The record is from RNAcentral.
CCUACGGGUGGCAGCAGUGAGGAAUAUUGGUCAAUGGGCGAGAGCCUGAACCAGCCAAGUCGCGUGAGGGAGUAAUGCCCUAUGGGUGGUAAACCUCUUUUGUCGGGGAGCAAAAGCAGGACGUGUCCGGCUGUGAGAGUACCCGAAGAAAAAGCAUCGGCUACCACCGUGCCAGCAGCCGCGGUGAUACGGAGGAUGCGAGCGUUAUCCGGAUUUAUUGGGGUUAAAGGGGGCGCAGGCGGAAUUUUAAGUCAGCGGUAAAAUCGUGGGGCUCAACCCCAUCCAGCCGUUGAAACUGGGGAUCUAGAGUGUGCGAGAGGUAUGCGGAAUGCGUGGUGUAGCGGUGAAAUGCAUAGAUAUCACGAAGAACCCCGAUUGCGAAGGCAGCAUACCGGUGCACAACUGACGCUCAGGCACGAAAGCGUGGGUAUCGAACAGGAUUAGAUACCCUAGUAGUC